This 13065-nucleotide long non-coding RNA is filed under the name Trifolium pratense (red clover). RNAcentral describes it as "long non-coding RNA (TPRA_LNC013103)". Lineage: Eukaryota; Viridiplantae; Streptophyta; Magnoliopsida; Fabales; Fabaceae. The record is from RNAcentral.
AUGUCAAAAGGAUGACACAUUUAGAGAUUAUUCAAAAACUUGCCAAAAACAAUAUAUAUAUGACUGAGACCCUUUUAGCUCUGUCAUAUUAAAUUGUAAGUACUAAGUUGUAAUUAAUAGGGUUUUUGGCCAACAUAAUUUCCCGGGGGAUCGUAAUUGUAAGUGGCGAACCACCAUUAUUAGUGCAUUGUACCCUUGCACACCCUAAACGACCAGAGUUGCGCCAAACAAUUUGAGUAUAAUGCAAGCAUUGUCCUCCAUUAAUGCAUGAAUUAAUUUUAUAAUCAUGUAUUGAUUCUAAUUAACCAGUGAAUGUAACACUAGAUCCUUUGGCAAGAUUCCCACCAUAAGGUCCACUUGAGUGAGUCAAAUUCCAAUCCCAAAUAAUGUUUGCAACACAAACUUGCACACGAGCAGUGUUGGGGGAAUUGAGAUAACCUUGAGGUGAGUUUUGAGCAUUGGAGAAUGAUAACCAAAUGGGAAAGAAUUUUGAAAAAGCCCUCCAAAAUCAUCCCCGAGGAGAAGCUUCAGUGUUAAUACAAGUCACAGCUAAAGUUUUUAAUUUCAGCCCCUCAUUCCAUCGGAAACAAUCACGUAUCAACAAAAAACAUGAAUUAUCAAGAUCAGAAAACAAAAUUAUAUAAAAACCAAAGAAAAUAUCUAGUAACAACGCAAUAAUUCAUUUAGGCUCCCAAAAGCAAAACAACACACCUGUUCAUACAGAGACAAGGACCAAUAUAACGGGACUAGUACAGGAUUCGUACAUAAUUAAAUGGCCAAGACAUACUCUAUGCAGGUUCCUCCAUCAGUAUAUUGGAAUUUAGCAUUAAAUUGGAGACUAUCAGAUGGAAUAAUCUCGCCAAUCUCAAAAAGACUUCAUGUGAAUGAUCCGUUGCAUGUCAAAACGUACAAGGUCAGUAUAGUCAGCACUCAGCAAACUGAUACUUUCAGUCACUUAUCUGAUAUCUAAUAUCCCAGGGCAUACUUUGAACUACAAUCCAAAAGAAAGGUUGACGCAGAAGGCAUUGUAACUUGUAAGGCAAUACUGUUGAUGAGCACUCUUCGAAGCCCAUUAUCUUUGAGGUUGGAUGUGGGUGUUGUGUUGACUCUUCUCAACUAUAUCUUCUAUCAAAAGCCUAACAAGUAACAGUAUCAAUACUCAAAGCAACAUCUAUCAACUCAAAAAACUUUACAAGAGCUAAAACAAAGGAAACAUAAACAACAAUUGAAUAUGAAAGGUACUGAAUAUCAUAAGAUAUUUUUCCAAAAACACUCUAGGCAGUAGGCAUAUUAUGAAUAGUACCACACAACUAAAACAAAGUUAACUUUAUUGUUUAUUUUAGAAAAUGAACAAUAGAGUACCUAAAUUAUGAAUGAAAGCCACAAAAACCGUGGCCUCUUUGUGGGUUUGUAGUUUCAUAUGUUUCCAAUUUUUAAUGGAUAGUCCUUCUCUUCAAGAAUAAGUCACUUACUAAACAAAUGACGUAUCAACUAAAGCAAAUCACAAGAUCAACCACAAUGAAUAAUGUACCUUUGUUUGGAAGUCCGUUUUAAUUGAAUGCAUAAUUUACUGCGGACCCCUGUAAUCGAUGAUGUCAACUUCUGCAGAUGGUGAGUUUUGAAGCAAGAAGUUUACUACCCCCUUAGGUAUGAUUACAAACGGUUCAUCUGCUUCUUUGAGAAGUAUCUUGUGAGCUUCUUUAAGCGACUUGUAUUUAAACACAACUUCUUUCCUUACAUAAGAUGAUAAUCCAAGAGGGCGUGGUUUCAGUUCUACUUUCAGUGACUUCAAGUUACGCAAGGAAGGGAGUUUAACCUUGAAUAAAUCAGGAUCUAAGGAAAGAAUCUACGCAAUUAGGGAGGAUUAAGAUUAGUUUGAUGUAAGCCACUUGAUUUUUGACAAUAUUUGGAAAUUGUUUUUUUUUUAUAAAAAAACAGUAUCUUACUAAGAAAGUAAACAUGAAACCUCAAAACAUGGCUAGUUCAGGUACCUGAAGAGUAUAUGCAUUGACGGUCAAUGAUUUUAUAUUAUCAAGGUCUUGAAUAAAAUCAAAUAAGGCUCCCCAAUUCUUGAAAAUAUGUCUACAAGAAUAUUUACUUGUUUAACUGAAGAAAGACUGCUUCCACACGACCACACAGUCUCUGCUUAGGAGUACCGUAAAAAGUAAUUGUACGAAGACUUGGAGCAGAUAGCUCGAUUUUGGUAAAGUCGGACGAGCUAUUACUACGCACAGUUAAAUGUAUGGUUAUCCCUUACACUACAUCUAGAAAUGAUCAAAUUAUUCGGUAUGUUGAAAGAUGAAAAUGGUUCGGCAUGAUCAGCAUUGCCAUUUGCGCAAAAGGAGAAAUUAGAUAGAUCCAAGCUAGUCAAUGCUGGCAAAUUUAGAUACUUCAGAAAUAAUGUUUUUUCAUCAUUAUAAGGACCAUUAGGGUAAACACAAAGCUUAAGAGACGUAAGUCCCUGACAUGACAAAAUGCGGGGAAAAAUGAUACCUUGCUCUUGCUCUCUUGGUGUUGGGUGGAAUCAUUGAGAACACGAAUUUGAGAAAAAAUAAAUAAAAUCUCAGCAAAGUCAUGGUAGAUUACAAUUGAAAAAAAAGAAAAGUUGAGAAAAUACCGUGAAAUUGAAAUUGAAAUUAACGUACUUUUGAAAAGAACGGUAGAGAAGGUUUACCGAGAGUUGGGGUCAUACAGCAAGUUUUGUAUUUCUAGGGUUCUUAUUUUUAUUUUUUUGCUCGGAGGAAAAAUGUGUUAAGUUUGCGAUGUGAACAACAAGUAACUAAAAUUAAAGUUGUUUAAUAAUUUUUACUUAAAAAAAAAAGUUUUUUUUUUUUACAUACUUAAAAAAAAAGUUUAAAAGUUGUUUUUAAUUAUAGUUUUGAAUUCUCGCGCGUCUUAUUUUUACUUAUCCGCUACUACAAUUGCGAGCCUUAUUUUUACUCGUUCGCUGCUUAAUGGGAACAAGCAUAGUUCACAUCACAAUCUCUUUGAGGGUCCGUUGAGGUAUAAAACUGCAUGUACGUUUAAAAUCGAGAGUAUGCAGUGCAGUUGAGGUAUCAAGAAGAGUUAAAAUCUUAGUCACAAACAUGCCUAGUUUCUUUGCGGUGGUAAAUUCUGAGGAAUGCAAUAUAAGGGUAGGAUUAUAUUUCCAAAGAUUCUUCCAUCUUGGUUGACAGACACCGCGUCUGUCUUUGUCUACUAUAUAAAUUUAUGUUAAAAAAUUAAAAAAAUGUCCUAUGUUAUAGUGAAUUUUUUAAUUAGAGAUCCCAGCCUAAACCAAUUAGCUAAGAGCAGGUGAGUAGAGCUGUUAAAGGGGCUGGCCUGGUCUGGCCCGGCCCCGAGGGCCCGAACAUUUAAAGGGCCCAGCCGGUCAUGCCCGGGUUGAUAAACAAAAGCCUACAUGGUCCGAUGGACCGGCCCGUUUAAAUUUUUAUUUUUUUAGCAAUUUUUUUUUUAAAUGUAUGAAUGACACACAAAUUAGUAUCCAUAACACAAAAUGGGUAUCAUGAUUUCACAAGAUAAUAAAUAAUGCAAAAUAUCCACGCAAAAAUCAAGAAAUAAUAAAUUCACAAAGUGCACCCUCAAAUCUAAUAAAUUUCAAGCUUACAAUCCUUCAAUUGGGAUUUAUGACUUAACAAUGGAGGAUUCGUCUUCGUCUUGUUCAAAAAAACAAUGGAGGAUUCAUUUGGGUUUAGUCAAAAUUAUAUGAUAAACUAUAACUUGAAUUGAUUCUAAAUAUGUUUGCCUUUAAAUAAGCUUACAAUAGAAAAACAAACGUAAAAAAGAUAAUAACUAACUUAUUUUAAAUUUAUGAUCUUUUAAAUUUAAAAGAUAAUUAUCCUACUAAUAACAAACUUAAAGGGUCAAAAUAUCUUUUUGUUUCAAAAUCAAAAUUUCAGUUUAUUUUUUUUCAAUAUUUUUUUUAAAAAUUCUUUAAGGGGCAGGCCCAAAAGCCCGUGGGCUGGUCCAUGACGGCCCAUGAAAAAGCCUGACCUGAUAAGGCCCAACCCGCAAUUUGUGAAGCCCUACCCGUGUAAAUAUAUAGGGCUAAUAGGCCGGCCCGUUAGCCCCACCCAUUUUGACAGCUCUACAGGUGUGCCGUCAGAUCAAAAGGAUCAUGUAGCAUAGGUAUAGAAUAGAUAUAAUAAAGUUAAAAGAUAUGUUUGAUAAUAUAUUAUAUAUUUUUUUAAGUAUAGAAACUGUUUUUUUUCUUCUUAAUAGAGCUUUUAAAAAUUGUUGUUUAGCCUAACUUCUUACUUAUAUGAAAAAAGAAGAGGAAAAAAGUUAGGUUAAAUAGUACCUAAGGACCACACAAAUUAGUGUUAAUGGAUUGGACAAAAAUAAAGAUUUUUAUUUUCUACCGAACUAUGAGAGACAAUUUUUUGUCUUCUCACAAGUUGUCUAAGAUACCAAAAUAACUUUUUUAUACAUCGAUCAUCGUAGAAGAUAAAAUUUAUUCAAUACCUUAAUAACAUGUGUCAUGUGUUGUUCCGUUUUGUACUGUUAUGUAUUGUUCUGUUUUGUACUGUUAUGUAUUGUUCCGUAAGAAAGUUGUUUUAUAAGUAUUAGAGAAAACAACACUCGUGGCAAGCAAUUCUUAUAAAUAUUUUGCACAAAGACUUUUUUUUUUUGGCUUUCACCACCAGUUUAAUCUGGUUCGGGGGUCGGUUCUGGCAUCAAGUGGUUCCAGCCCCCUCCCGAUCGUAGUUGCAGGGAUCGAACCGUGGUCCUCCCAACCAAGUUCAGCAUCAAUUACCACUGAACCAACUAACGAUUAAAACAAAGGAAACUCAAAAUGAAUAAAAGGAACAAUAGCGUGCCUAAAUCAGACUAGAACGACUUGUAAGCAAAGUAACAUACAUCCCUGCAACUCGCAAUAUGUGAACAAAAGCCACUAAACCUUUGGCUUCUUUGCUGGUGUGAAGCUUACAUUGCUUCCUAUUUUUAACCGAUAAUUUUUCUCUUCAAGGACGAUUCUUCGACCGAGCAAAUCACAUGAUCAACUAUAAAGAAUAAUAAUUAGUUAAGAUAAACUUUUCAGCAAGAACUUCCUACAAUCUUUUUGCUUUGAAAUAAUUACCACGACUAUAAAUUUUUUAAAUAACUACCUAAGGUAGGCGGCAACAGAAGGUUUCAGAGUUUAAUUCAAGUACAUGAUCUAUGAUAACUUCUAUUGACGGCGAGUUUUGAAGCAAGAAGUCCACUAUUCCAUCAGGCAUGCUUAAAGAUGAUUGAUAUGAACAAAUUUGGAAUCUAAGGUAAAGAAAUAGUAAAAUAUAGAAUGGAUGUUGGAAGCAACACACUGUUAUAUUGAUUAUCCUAUAGAAUCAAGGUGAUUCUAUGGUAGAAUUUCAUCAGUCAUUGAUUUCAUCAGUACUUAAUUCAGUGACUUCAACUUACACAAGGAAUAAAACUCCAUCGAUAAAUAUGAAACAAGGGAGAGAACCUGAGCAAUGAAGUGUGAGGAUGAGUUAGGUUCAGUUUAACACAAGUCAAAAUAUUUUAGACAAAAUGUAGAAAUAAAAAAACACAUCUUAAGAAGAAAGUUUAUUAAGCCAGUAGAGUAAAGCCAAAGAGAAAUAAAGCAAUCUCCUGAUACAUGCUCGCUGUGCAAUGAUGACAAUAGUUGCAAAAACACCAUUAUUUUCAGGUUCAGGGACUGCAUUCUGAAGUAGAAUUAUAUUUUUAUUAGAAUAUUUCUAAGAGAAAUUGACUUAUAUAAAUAAUCUCUUGUUCUCAUUCUCAUAUUGAUAUAUAUAUCUAAAUGCAAUUUUAUAUGUAGUUUCUGGAAUGCAAAGUUAUUAUGGAUAAUAACUUUCCAUAACUUUUUGGUUUGGUCUUAUUAUCAAUUUAACAAUACAUAAGCUGUAUAUUCUUGGCUCUUGAGUAAUUAGAUACAUUUUUUGUUCUAAUGCAAAUGUUGGGGAAAAAAAAAACUACUUUUUAUCAAUCAAAUAGGAAAUCAAUAAAAAAAAUCAGUAGUCUAAUGUAUAUCAUCACAUCUAUUCGUAUAUGGAUUUUGCAUGUCUAUAUGCAUCAAAUCUGAUUAUUCAACCAUUGUUGUUAGUUGAGUAGCGGUAGUAGUUUUUAAGUCAGUUCAGAAACAAUUUACAAGUUGAAAACUAGUUCAGAACCAAAACUAAACUAACCAUUUUUGUGUUUAAAACAGUUUGGUUCAAAAGUUUUAAAACCGAUGCAGAGAACCAAAGAAUCAGUUCAGUUUGGUGAACAGUAAAACCGAUUCAAUUUGGUUCAGCUGAAAUGGUUUCCAAUUCGGUUCAGUUUUCUCUGGUGAAUCAAACCAUGACCACUCCUAGUUUGACAGGCAAUUAUGACCGUCGAAUAUCUCAUAACAUGUCUUCCAAAAUGACUUAAUGCAUAUUUCAAAAAUACUCAAGCAACUAAAACAACAAAAUGAACUAAAAUGAACAAUAUAGAGCCUAACCUUUGGCUUCUUUGCCGGUUUGAAACAAGAAGUCCACUAUUUCAUAAGGCAUAUGCUUAAAGAUGAUUUGAUCAGUACUUUCAGUGACUUCAACGUACACAAGGAAUAAAUCUUAAGGUACCUGAAUAGUACCUUAAGGCUAAAGAGCUGUUCUGAUGACAUGUAAAAGCAUCGAUGUUUACUUGUUUAACAGAAGAAAGACCGAUACUGCAUAGUUUAUAUGAAGGGGUGGAGCAGAUAACUGAAGUUUGGAAAUGAGUAUGAAACUAUCAUGCAUGGUUAAAUUGACGAACGUCGCAUUUGAUUUUGCUAGUUGCGAGAGAUUGAACCGCGGUCCUCCCAACUAAGUUCAGCGCCAAUCACCACUGAACGAACCAACAAUUGAAAAUUUUUGGUUAAACUUUGUUUAUCUUGUGAACAAACUCUAGAUUUUCGGGAUUCCCUAGGAACUAGAAUAUUAAUACCAAAAGAAAUAAUAAAUAAUUACUAAAUUUUUUUUUUUGAGAAAAUAAAUAAUUACUAAAUGUUUUCACAUAAAUGAUUCCGUGAGCAUAAUUUGAUUGGUAGUGACAUUGCACGUAAAAUGCAGGGAUCAGAGUUUGAACCUUGAUACUCCCACUAUUUCACCUUAAAAAGUGAAAUUCUAGUCACUAAAUUACUUGGAUAAAAAAGAAGCAAAUGAGAAAUAAUAAUAAUAAUAAUAAUAAUAAUAAUAAUAAUAAUAAUAAUAAUAAUAAUAAUAAUAAUUCAGAUUUCGAUGGGAAUCAAAUGGGAAAUGAUCCUCUCAAUUUUUUCCCUCAAUUUAUACAUCUUAACUAUGGAUAAACUUUUCUUCAUUUUUUUAUAAUUAAAAUAUUAACACAUAAUUUAUAUACAAACAUUAUUGGCAUUCUCGGUAAUGCUGAAAAGCUGUACUGCCUAAGAAAAAAGUUAUAUAUAUUAACUGUUUAAUUGAUAUGCACCGACGGUGUAAAAUACUUUUACACCAUCGUCCAAUAAAUAAUCAUUAUUUUUCCAUGUUAUGUCAAGAAAGUGGGGUGAAGUGGGAUGAUGUGGCAAAAAAUAUGAUUGGUAUUAGUUGACGAUGUAAAAUUAUUUUACACCGUCAGCGGUGCAUAUCAAUUAAAUCCUAUUAACUUUGACCCGACUUCUAUUUUUAUUAAGUAGAAAAGUUUGAAAUAAGCUGGCCCAAACAUAUAGUUUGAUGCAAGCCACUUGAUUUUUGACAAAAGUUGGAAAUAAAUAAAAAUGCAUAUUUUAAGUUAUUGUAGGCUUUAUGGUUGAUUGUUGUCAUUGUUGUAAGACAUAUUUUCAAUUUAAUACUUAUUUUAACCCACUUGGGGUUGGUCUAGUAGUGUUGGCUUAAAUCUUUAGAGUAUGCUCCUCUCAAGGUCUCAGGUUCGAUUCCUCCUGGUGCUAAUUUUGGUGGGAUAAGUUCACACAUAGAAAAAAACUAGCUUUAAAUGGGGUUCCGCAAGUGGGCGGUGGGAUUGGUCUCCUUGGAUUAGUCGGUCAUAGGACCGGAAACGAAGUUUUCAAAAAAAUUUAAUACUUAUUUUAUGAUUAGGAUGAACGAUUUUACUACACUAUUAUUUAAUAUUUAUCACGGAUGAUUUCUAAAAUAUUUACAAGAGGAAUUGGGUAACCGGCAUGAGUGAAACUUCAUAUAAGAUAUGCAAAAGGUAUAAUUUCUGUAACCAUGAUUUAACUACAAAGUUGCAAUUAAAAAAUAUGGUCAUUUACCCUUCUGUGUCGUGAAGUGCAAUCAAAUCAGUCUCUGAGUCGUAGACUCACGUUGGCUAACAGCUAGCGGUGUUAUAUAGUAAGGAUGACACAAAUUGGCAAAAGACACUUUAAACCAAGGUGAUGAGUAAACUGUGGAAAUGAUUUAAAAAGCAUAGAGAUACUUAAGCAAUAACAAUUAAUUAACAGAAUGAAUAACUUUCCUUGAGUACCACACAAUCCUUGUCAUUGAAAGAAAAUCCUUUAACCAGAAAGAGUAUCAUAUCAUGUGAGUUCAACCACUUUAUUUUGAAGUAUUUUUUGGCAAGGAGAGAAGAGAAAGACUUCAUGAUUUUCCUUUUUGUGAGAGUAUUAGAAAUUAUUAUCGCGAAAGGAUUUUGAAAAUUUUCGAAGCACUCCAAAAUCACAGCUAUAGUUUUUUAUUUCAGCCCCUCAUUCCAUCACAAACAAUAUUGGAUCAAGAAAAUGUGAAUAAAUGCAGGAUUCUCUUUUGUGUGAGUGAUGUCAACAAAAAACAUGAAUUAUCAACACCAGAAAACAGAAUUAUAUAAAAACCAAAGAAAUCAUCGAUAAAAAUAUCUAGUAACAACUAAAUGAUUCAUUUAGGCUCCCAAAAACAAAAACACAGACCUAAUGCAUGUCAAAUCGUACAACAUGAUUGAUAUAGUCAGCAUUCGGCAAACUGAUUUCAGUCACUUAUCUGAUAUCUAAUAUCCCAAGGCAUACUUUGAACUACAAUCCAAAAGAAAGGUUGACACAGAAGGCAUUGUAACUUGUAAGGUUGACGCUCUUCAAAGCCCGUUAUCUUGAGGUGGGGAACGGGUGUUGGGUUGGCUCUUCUCAACUGUAUCUUCGUUUGAUGAUGUAUCGAAAGUCAAACUAACAAUAGCAAUAGUCAAAGAAAAAUUUAUCAAUUCAAAAAAUUAACUAGAGUUAAAAUAAAGGAGAAAUAAACAAUAGUUGAAUAUGAAAGAUACUAAAUCUCAUAAAAUAAAACAAAGGAAACAUUCUAAACAGUAGGCAUACUUCAAAAGUAUCACACAACUAAAAGAAAGGAAACUUGCAAAAGUUUCCAAAUUUCAUUUUUAAUUUUAACUGGAAUAUCUCUCAGGCCUUGAAUGAUGCUUAUCAAACAGGUUACAAUAAUACAAUUCCAUUUGAUCCUUCUGAGGAUGAGUUUCUUUGGAAACAUAAUUCUGGUAUUCUGACCCUCAAAGAUGCUUAUAUUUUCCAAUCUCCUCCUCGUCAGAAGAUUCCUUGGGCUAAAUUGAUUUCAAGCUCUUCUAUCACUCCUUCUAAAUCUCUUCUUCUUUGUUGAACCUUGCAUAACAAGAUUCCUACUGAAUGCUAAUAGCUGGUGCUUUCUUGUCCCUCAGGUUAUUAUAGGGCUGACUAUUCUAGAAAUAGAUUAGUUAUUCCUUACUUUCGUUUUUUUAACCUUUAAGAGGGUUUUGGUUUGGCCCCCCUCCUUUCUCUUUUUAUUUCUCUGAUAUUUAGGGCUCCGCAGUUAUCCUGCAACCCAUCUUUUGUCUUAAAAAAAAGAGUAAACUUUAUUUUUUUUGUUAAAAAAUGAAAAAUAGAGUCUCAAAGUUAUGAAUGAAAACCACAAAAAUUGUGGCCUCUUUGCGAGUUUGAUGUUUCACUUGCUUCCUAUUUUUCAAUCGAUAAUCCUCUGCAAGAAUAAGUCACUGCCUAAAGAAAUGACAUAUCAACUAAAGAAAAUCACAAGAUCAAGUAUAAAGAAUAGUUUACCGUAGUUUGGUGGGCCAUUUCAUCCGACUGCAUACUUUCAGUGUCUUCAAGUUACACAACAAUGAAGGGAGUUUAGCCUUGAAUAAAUCAGGAACUAAGAAGAGAAUCUGAGCAAUUAGGGAGAAUUAUGAUUAGGUUGAUGCAAGUCAGUUGAUUUUUGACAAAAUUUGUUUAUGAAAUAAAAAAACAUCUUAAGAAGAAAGUAAACAUGAAACCUCAAAACAUAGCAAGUUAAUGUACCUUAAGAUUACUCGCAGUGACUGUCAAUGAUUUUGUAUUAAUAAGGUCCUGCGGCCAGCUGAAUAGAACAAAAGGAAGCUCCUCAAAUGUAUUUGAAAAUAUGUCCGCUUCAAUAUUUACUUGUUUAAUUGAAGAAAGACUGCUUCCACACAGUCUCUGAUGAGGAACACCAUCAAAAGUAAUGGUAUAAAGACUAGGAGCGAAUAACUCAAUUUUGGUAAAGUCAGAUGAAUUAUUAGACAUAGCUAAAUUGACAAGGGUUGAACUUGAUAUUCUUAGAAUCGGGGCAUCCAUUACAGUACAAUUAGAAAUGAUCAAAUUAUUUAAGCAAUUAAAUGAUGAAAAGGGUUCGGCAUGAUCAGCAAUGUCGCUAGCACAAAAUGCAAAAUAAGUUAGAUCCAAGCUAGUCAAUGCUGGCAAAUUCAGAGAUUUUGGAAAUAAUGUUCUUUUCCCAUUACUAUAAAGACCUUUAGGGUAAACACAAAGCUUAAGAGACGUAAGAGCCUGGCAUGAAGAAAUGCGAGGAAAAAUGAUACUACUAUCACCUUUAACACAGAUUCCUAAUUGCUUGAGUUGGGUAUUAUGGGAACAAGCAUAGUUUACAAUCUCUUUGAGAGUCCGUUGAGGUUCAAAACUGCCCAAACGCUCAAAAUCGAGAGUGUGCAGUGAAGGUGUGGUGGUAUCACGAAGAUUCAAAAUCUUAGUCACAAAUAUGGCUAAUUUUUUUGCAUUGGAGAAUUCUGAGGAAUGCAAUAUAANNNNNNNNNNNNNNNNNNNNNNNNNNNNNNNNNNNNNNNNNNNNNNNNNNNNNNNNNNNNNNNGGAGAACACAAUCAGGUAAGUCACUCAACCUAUCUUCAUUCUCUUCAUUAUUAUCAUGCCUCCCUCUCUUGUUGUCGGGUGGAAUCAUUUUCUCAUGCGCUAAACUAGACAUUACAACUCAGAUAACUACCGGUACCUGCACAAGCAUAAACGGAAAAAACAAUGUGGAAUCAUUUUCUGCAAUAUUAUACAACGGAUCACGAAUUUGAGUUACAAAGAGAAUCAAAUCUACGGCGAGCUUUCAAAUCUCAUCAAAGUCAUACUAGAUUGCAAUUGGGAAAAUGGAUAGGAACGGUGGAAAGAGGUGCUAGAUUGCAUACCUUGAAAUUGACGAUUUACACAUCCAAGCAAACACUUCGCUCUAUUUCGUACGGGAUAGAAACGGUGAAGUGAGGUCUACAGACUGGUUCAUAGAACCAGUUUUCUAGGGUUCCAACAAAAUGCAUUAGUUUAGACACUAAACUAUUUGACCAACAAAAAAGAAGAAUUACCAACAUUUGAUUGGUCCAUUUGCUGCCACAUCAUAUCAAAAUAUGUCAUGUAUGCAUAAUUUUAAGUAUUUGAGUCCAAUUUCAGAAAUUGAAAAAAAUGAGAGGCCAAAAUUGGGAAAUUUAAAAUGUGGGGACCAAAAUUCAGAAAUCGACAAAUAAGGGGAUCAAAACUGCAAUUAAACCAUUUGGUUCCGUUUUCUUUGGUGAAUCAAACCAUGACCACUAAUUUGACAAGCAAUUCUUAUAAAUAUUUUGCACAAAGACUCUAGGAAGCAUGCAUAUUUCAAAAUAAUCAAGCAAUUAAAACAAAGGAAACUCAAAAUGAAUUAAAAGGAACAAUAGAGUGCCUAAAUUAUGCUUUUAUUUAUAAAUCAGACUAGAACGACUUGUAAGCAAAAUAACACACAUACCUUUUGCUUCUUUGCCAGUUUGAAGCAAGAAGUCCACUAUUCCAUCAGGCAUGCUUAAAGAUGAUUUGAGAAACUUUAACUUACACCAGGAAUAAAUCUUAAGCUAUAUCAUGUGAGUUCAACCACUUUAUUUUGAAGUACAUUUUGGCUAGGAGAGAAGAGAAAGACUUCAUGAUUUUCCUUUUUGUGAGAGUAUUAGAAAUUAUUAUCGUGAAAGGAUUUUGAAAAUUUUCGAAGCACUCCAAAAUCACAGCUAAAGUUUUUAAUUUCAGCCCCUCAUUCCAUCGGAAACAAUCGCGUAUCAAGAAAAUAUGAAUAAAUGCAGGGUUCAACUUUAGUACGAGUGAGAUCAACAAAACACAUGAAUUAUCAAGAUCAGAAAACAGAAUUAUAUAAAAACCAAAGAAAAUAUCUAGUAACAACGCAAUAAUUCAUUUAGGCUCCCAAAAUCAAAACAACACACCUGUUCAUACAGAGAUAAGGACCAAUAUAACGGGACUAGUACAUGAUUCGUACAUAAUUAAAUGGCCAAGACAUACUCUAUGCAGGUUCCUCCAUCAGUAUAUUGGAAUUUAGCAUUAAAUUGGAGACUAUCAGAUGGAAUAAUCUCGCCAAUCUCAAAAAGACUUCAUGUGAAUGAUCCGUUGCAUGUCAAAUCGUACAAGGUCAGUAUAGUCAGCACUCAGCAAACUGAUACUUUCAGUCACUUAUCUGCUAUCUAAUAUCCCAGGGCAUACUUUGAACUACAAUCCAAAAGAAAGGUUGACGCAGAAGGCAUUGUAACUUGUAAGGCAAUACUGUUGAUGAGCACUCUUCGAAGCCCGUUAUCUUUGAGGUUGGAUGUGGGUGUUGUGUUGACUCUUCUCAACUAUAUCUUCAAUUGAUGAUGUAUCAAAAGCCCAACAAGUAGCUAAAUCUAUCAACUCAAAAAACUUCACAAGAGCUAAAACAAAGGAAACAUAUACAACAAUUGAAUAUGAAAGAUACUGAAUAUCAUAAGAUGUUUUUCCAAAAACACUCUAGGCAGUAGGCAUAUUAUGAAUAGUACCACACAACUAAAACAAAGUUAACUUUAUUGUUUAUUUUAGAAAAUGAACAAUAGAGUGCCUAAAUUAUGAAUGAAAGCCACAAAAACCGUGGCCUCUUUGUGGGUUUGUAGUUUC